UCCGAGUUGACCCCGGCAGUCUCCCAUGAGUCCCCGCCAUCACGCGCUGGCAACAUGGAACGAGGGUUGCGCUCGUUGCGGGACUUAACCCAACACCUCACGGCACGAGCUGACGACAACCAUGCACCACCUGUAUAGGGCCCCGAAGGACACUGCAUCUCUGCAGCUUUUCCCUAUAUUUCAAGCCCUGGUAAGGUUCUUCGCGUUGCGUCGAAUUAAUCCGCAUGCUCCGCCGCUUGUGCGGGCCCCCGUCAAUUCCUUUGAGUUUUAGCCUUGCGGCCGUACUCCCCAGGCGGGGCGCUUAAUGCGCUAGCUACGGCACAGAACCAGCCAAUGUGGCCCCACACCUAGCGCCCACCGUUUACAGCAUGGACUAC
RNAcentral lists this unclassified non-coding RNA (377 nucleotides) under uncultured Actinomycetes bacterium. Its description in RNAcentral is "uncultured actinobacterium contains 16S-23S intergenic spacer region". Lineage: Bacteria; Bacillati; Actinomycetota; Actinomycetes. The record is from RNAcentral.